Molecule: ribosomal RNA, 253 nt
Filed under: uncultured bacterium
Lineage: Bacteria
Description: partial 16S ribosomal RNA
Rfam family: Bacterial small subunit ribosomal RNA
Source: RNAcentral
UACAGAGGUCCCAAGCGUUGUUCGGACUCACUGGGCGUAAAGGGUGCGUAGGCGGUCGGGUAAGUCUGACGUGAAAUCUCACAGCUUAACUGUGAAACUGCAUUGGAUACUAUCCGGCUAGAGGAAUGGAGGGGAGACUGGAAUACUUGGUGUAGCAGUGAAAUGCGUAGAUAUCAAGUGGAACACCAGUGGCGAAGGCGAGUCUCUGGACAUUUCCUGACGCUGAGGCACGAAAGCCAGGGGAGCAAACGGG